This 891-nucleotide long non-coding RNA is filed under the name Marmota monax (woodchuck). Lineage: Eukaryota; Metazoa; Chordata; Mammalia; Rodentia; Sciuridae. The record is from RNAcentral.
GAAUUUUCCAAGGACAGGCUGACCGAGAAAAGCUACUGUCUGACCAUGCACCAGAAUUGGUAACGUGGCACCCCUGAAGCAGCAGAGGUGACCGGCUGGACUCUUGGACCAGGAGGACAGCUGCCCCCCCACCCCCCGGGGUGUGUUGCCAAGAUCUGCCCCUGAUGGGAUUAGUGACUUCAGGACAGCUGGAACAUUGCAGUGCCAUUUCCUACAGUGAGAAGAGACACGAUCUUGACUCUGCUUUGGAAGGAGGUGACCAUGAGGAGCAGCUGAAAGCUAGAUGGUUCUUUAGACUCUGUGACAGAAACAGUAUGCACCAGGCCUAUCUGCUCACGGCGACUCCACAGCGGCCCCACCGUUUCCUCUUCCCACUCACCGAGCUCCGCCCUACGGAGACACUGUCCUGUGAACUGGGCAAAGCCGAAUGGUCUUGUUCUAAUUCCCUUCAUCAUCUUUCCACAAAGGGAGACAGGCCAUUGUUCUCCUGGCCCCUUUCACACAGCGACAGCAGGUUUUCAAAGCUCUGAGGGAUAGGAUGCUGUGAAAGGCCCCGGAGAAGGGACCAAUCAGCCUCGAGUUCAAAAACCCACUGAGGAGCUGUCAGGGUUUAUAAUGGUCCUCUGAGAACCCCUGGGAACUUACGAGCCCUUGGAGAUGCUCGUUCCUGACUAGGAAAAGAAAAUGGUUUGGGUUUGAUGAAUUCCCAGUACCAGAUAGAAAUAUGAAGCCCUCCGAAAUCUGUGACUGGUGGUGAGAGAGUCACCUUGGUGAUGUUGUUGAGGACAUCAGGUUCUCUGUCUCUCAUUCCAUAAAAUAUCUGUGAUGGGAUGGCUGGGGGAUUUGAAUCUCUAAAACCACAUGGAGAAAAGACAUGGGAUAAGAAACAGG